Molecule: ribosomal RNA, 249 nt
Filed under: uncultured bacterium
Lineage: Bacteria
Description: partial 16S ribosomal RNA
Rfam family: Bacterial small subunit ribosomal RNA
Source: RNAcentral
AUACGUAGGGGGCUAGCGUUAUCCGGAUUUACUGGGCGUAGAGGGUGCGUAGGUGGUUUCUUAAGUCAGGAGUGAAAGGCUACGGCUUAACCGUAGUAAGCUCUUGAAACUGGGAAACUUGAGUGCAGGAGAGGAAAGUGGAAUUCCUAGUGUAGCGGUGAAAUGCGUAGAUAUUAGGAGGAACACCAGUAGCGAAGGCGGCUUUCUGGACUGUAACUGACACUGAGGCAACGAAAGCGGUGGGGAGAC